ACACGACUACAUUAGAUACCCGGGUAGUCCUAGCCGUAAACGAUACUCGCUAGGUGUCGGCCACGGUGCGACCGUUGUCGGUGCCGUAGGGAAGCCGUGAAGCGAGCCACCUGGGAAGUACGGCCGCAAGGCUGAAACUUAAAGGAAUUGGCGGGGGAGCACCACGACGGGUGGAGCUUGCGGUUUAAUUGGAUUCAACGCCGGAAAUCUUACCGGGACCGACAGCAACAUGAAGGCCAGGCUGAAGACUUUGCCGGAUUAGCUG
RNAcentral lists this ribosomal RNA (265 nucleotides) under uncultured archaeon. RNAcentral's name for it is "partial 16S ribosomal RNA". It matches the Rfam family "Archaeal small subunit ribosomal RNA", at positions 717 to 982 of the family's 1478-position model. The record is from RNAcentral.